RNAcentral lists this long non-coding RNA (632 nucleotides) under Coffea arabica (coffee). RNAcentral describes it as "long non-coding RNA (CARA_LNC007126)". Lineage: Eukaryota; Viridiplantae; Streptophyta; Magnoliopsida; Gentianales; Rubiaceae. The record is from RNAcentral.
CCCCUUUCUUUCUUCCUACUUCAUUUUGUUCAAAAGUUUGCUUCUACGUCUGUGAGUUGGAUAGUCAAGCUGAUGCUUGGUAGUCUUGUUCAAAGGCUGUACAAUCUUGUAUGCUUGAACCAAAAUUUGGAAACAAAGUUUGAUGUGUGAAUGAAUUUUCAAAUGGUGAUGCUAAGCAUGUUAGUGGCCAUGAUGAGUCGGAACCAGAUUUGCUAAGUUGAAACUAAAGGCCGCUGAUAUGCAUUAAUAUUGUGUUUAAUUUGGUUGAAACUAAAGGUUCACGGUUGCUGUUUUCUUGUAUAUUCUUUAUCCAAUGAUAGGUUCCUUUUUCCUUGAAUUUUAUAGCUUAGUUGAGUUUCUUUUCAGUCACUACGUUGGGAAUUGAGUUCAUGGUAUGGUCAGUUUUUUGUUCAACUCAUGCAAUGCCUACCAUUGGUGAAUUCCGACAUGUGGUAUGCUUUCAAAUGGGCUGCCCGUUCUUAUUUUAAAACUCCUUGUACAGACAUUAGAAGUUGUGGAUGAUUUUCCUAGCAUCUUGUUGCUUCAUGGUCCAGGUUUUGGGACGUUGUAAUUGAAUGUUUUGGUUUGGUGUUUGAGCAAAGAUUAAGCAUUUCUUCUGUUCUUCUUGUUUU